GAUGAACGCUGGCGGCGUGCUUAACACAUGCAAGUCGAACGGUGAAGGCGGAGCUUGCUCUGCUGGAUCAGUGGCGAACGGGUGAGUAACACGUGAGCAAUCUGCCCCUGACUCUGGGAUAAGCGCUGGAAACGGCGUCUAAUACUGGAUACGAGCUGCGAAGGCAUCUUCAGCAGCUGGAAAGAAUUUCGGUCAGGGAUGAGCUCGCGGCCUAUCAGCUUGUUGGUGAGGUAAUGGCUCACCAAGGCGCCGACGGGUAGCCGGCCUGAGAGGGUGACCGGCCACACUGGGACUGAGACACGGCCCAGACUCCUACGGGAGGCAGCAGUGGGGAAUAUUGCACAAUGGGCGAAAGCCUGAUGCAGCAACGCCGCGUGAGGGACGACGGCCUUCGGGUUGUAAACCUCUUUUAGCAGGGAAGAAGCGAAAGUGACGGUACCUGCAGAAAAAGCGCCGGCUAACUACGUG
This 468-nucleotide ribosomal RNA is filed under the name uncultured bacterium. RNAcentral describes it as "partial 16S ribosomal RNA". It matches the Rfam family "Bacterial small subunit ribosomal RNA", at positions 28 to 507 of the family's 1533-position model. The record is from RNAcentral.